RNAcentral lists this ribosomal RNA (250 nucleotides) under uncultured prokaryote. Its description in RNAcentral is "partial 16S ribosomal RNA". It matches the Rfam family "Bacterial small subunit ribosomal RNA", at positions 524 to 773 of the family's 1533-position model. The record is from RNAcentral.
UACGUAGGCGGCAAGCGUUGUCCGGAAUUACUGGGUGUAAAGGGAGCGCAGGCGGGAGAUCAAGUUGGAUGUGAAAUACCGGGGCUUAACCCCGGAGCUGCAUCCAAAACUGAUUUUCUUGAGUGAAGUAGAGGUAGGCGGAAUUCCGAGUGUAGCGGUGAAAUGCGUAGAUAUUCGGAGGUACACCAGUGGCGAAGGCGGCCUACUGGGCUUUAACUGACGCUGAGGCUCGAAAGUGUGGGGAGCAAAC